This 253-nucleotide ribosomal RNA is filed under the name uncultured bacterium. Its description in RNAcentral is "partial 16S ribosomal RNA". It matches the Rfam family "Bacterial small subunit ribosomal RNA", at positions 524 to 776 of the family's 1533-position model. The record is from RNAcentral.
UACAGGGGGUGCAAACGUUGCUCGGAAUCAUUGGGCGUAAAGGGCGCGUAGGCGGUUUGCUAAGUUGGAUGUGAAAACUCUGGGCUUAACCCAGAGCCUGCAUCCAAAACUGGCAAACUUGAGUACUGGAGGGGAAAGCGGAAUUCCUGGUGUAGCGGUGAAAUGCGUAGAUAUCAGGAGGAACACCGGUGGCGAAGGCGGCUUUCUGGACAGUAACUGACGCUGAGGCGCGAAAGCUAGGGGAGCAAACAGG